GUGCUCCCUUCGGCAGCACAUAUACUAAAAUUGGAACGAUACAGAGAAGAUUAGCAUGGCCCCUGAGCAAGGAUAUCCCUGUCCUCUGGAAGACAGUCCAGUAAAAA
This is a small nuclear RNA of Heterocephalus glaber (naked mole-rat), 107 nucleotides long. Lineage: Eukaryota; Metazoa; Chordata; Mammalia; Rodentia; Bathyergidae. The record is from Ensembl.